CUCUCUGUACGGGAAGGAUGAGAAGCUUCGACCAGGGUUCGAUUCGAGCGCAGCGAGAAAGCGUUGCCGCAGGCAACGACCCGAAGGGCGAAGCGCGCAGCGCUGAGUCAUCCUUCCCCCACCACCA
RNAcentral lists this small RNA (127 nucleotides) under Salmonella enterica. RNAcentral's name for it is "partial RtT sRNA". It matches the Rfam family "RtT RNA". Rfam says of the family: This family represents a bacterial cis-regulatory element known as RtT RNA. The exact function of RtT is unknown although it is thought that it may be involved in changing the cellular response in relation to amino acid starvation. RNAcentral also lists the same sequence under 1 other name. Lineage: Bacteria; Pseudomonadati; Pseudomonadota; Gammaproteobacteria; Enterobacterales; Enterobacteriaceae. The record is from RNAcentral.